Selaginella moellendorffii is the source of this 329-nucleotide long non-coding RNA. RefSeq lists it as uncharacterized. The record is from RefSeq and is a predicted model, not a curated record. The transcript has 2 exons. NCBI's taxonomy places the organism in Eukaryota, Viridiplantae, Streptophyta, Lycopodiopsida, Selaginellales, Selaginellaceae.
GCAGUACAAAGAAGAAGGAUGCAGUUAGAUGCCAAGCCGGCCAUUUUCCAUCCUUUUCCCAGGAGGCCUCCCAAAACUUCAUACCACUGAAAGCCAGUGUCUCGAGAGGCUGGUGGUCAUAUAACAGCUCCAGCACCCGAGAAGCCCAUACACGAGCUGGAACAGUAUACCCGGCACCAUUCCCAUUUGAGCAAAAGAGUAAGGGAGCGUGAGGAGAACUUGGGCGACCUGAAAGUUUGACCUGAAAAAGGUCGAGAGAUCUUCAGAGCAUUUACCUGUGCUGUGCAAGCAGUAAGCCACGCAUCAAACGAGGAUCCACCUCUGAAGAA